CGGCCGCGGUAUCCUGACCGUGCAAAGGUAGCAUAAUCAUUUGCCUUUUAAUUGGAGGCUAGUAUGAAUGGGUAGACGUAGAUUUAGCUGUUUCUUUACUAUAAAUAAAACUUAAACUUUAGGUGAAGAUACCUAAUUUUUAUAGAAAGACAAGAAGACCCUAUAGAGUUUUAGUUAAAUAUAUCCCUCUAUAAUAUUAUAACUUUGGUUGGGGCGACCUAGGAUUUUAUUAAACAUCCUAUUUAUUAUAAGAUAAAUUUAAUCUCAUUUAUAGACCCUAAAACGGAUUAUCAGAAUUAACUACCUUAGGGAUAACAGGCUUAUCUUCCUAGAGAGCUCUUAUUGAUAGGAUGGUUUGGCACCUCGAUGUUGGCUUAGA
RNAcentral lists this ribosomal RNA (379 nucleotides) under Neopolynoe chondrocladiae. Its description in RNAcentral is "partial large subunit ribosomal RNA". It matches the Rfam family "Bacterial large subunit ribosomal RNA", at positions 1928 to 2541 of the family's 2925-position model. Lineage: Eukaryota; Metazoa; Annelida; Polychaeta; Phyllodocida; Polynoidae. The record is from RNAcentral.